This is a non-coding RNA of Meleagris gallopavo (turkey), 3560 nucleotides long. NCBI's taxonomy places the organism in Eukaryota, Metazoa, Chordata, Aves, Galliformes, Phasianidae. The record is from RefSeq and is a predicted model, not a curated record.
UAAACAAGGUAAUUGAAACAUUAUUAAAAACAAAUUUGUAAACUCCACUCCAUUGUCUGAAGAACCAACCAUUAAUUGAUUCUGGAAGAAAUGAAAAGGAUCAUUGGAUUUUUCCUCUCUUUGCACAUCCAAAGUGGCAUUGUAAAAGAUCAGAGUUGUGGAACAUGUACUAGAGGAUCAUCCUGUGAAUAAGACAACAUCUCAGGCGUCAGGUUGAUAUUGAUGUAUUCUGGCUCCAUGCAACAGUGAGAAGAGGUACGGGAAAAAACAAAUCCCAGUGGCACCUGAGGCAAACAAGGACCUUGAGUACUUCAGGUGCUGACACACAAGAACUCAGGUCCCCAGGUGUGCCCCGCUUCUGAGAGCUGUGUGUCAUUAAUCACCAUCUAAAGGUCAUGGUGUCUUCUUCAGUAUUUCUGCAGUAGGAAAAGAGCACAACAGAAUUAUUGCACCGUUUUGUUGAAUAGUAUGCACAGAUGGAGUAUCCAACUGCACCAUCAUCAAAGUACGGUGAGACUCUUUUUUCUUCUCACUUGAAGCUGAAACCUGGUCUGAACCACGGUCAAAGAAACAUAUUCUUUCAGAUGAACAAUGGCUUUGAUUGAAAAACAUUGGACAAUUGGGCAACUGGGGGUAGCUCUGAAAAUCUGAAGGAGUGUAUAGAGGAUGAAGGGAAACUGAUGCUGGUAAUUGCUGUUCCCGGCAAUAAAGUCGUGGGAGAGUCCUGAAAUGAUGAAAGUACUGUCAUUGUGUGCAAAAUUAUGGGAUGCAUGUUGAAGGCUUAACAUAUGAAAGAAUUAUACCACAAAGAUUUGCCACCUGCAGCUCUCCAUAAACAACAGAAACAAAAUUAAGGAAAAACUUGGGAUUCUGAAGAGAUAUUUUGCAUAGUGUCUGAAGAAACGUCACCUAAGCAUUAAUUCAAAAUUUGCAGAGUCAAUGAGUGGCAACUUGAACGACUUCACCCGCUUUGGCACAUUCUUCAUGAGGAACAAGAAAAAUGACUGCAGAAAACUGGAACCUCAAGCAAUGACCAUGAAGUAUCCCAAAGGAAGCACUGGUUUCAUGGGUAUAUCUGCUUGGAAAGAAAAGUGGUGGUUAACCACUCAAAUCUAUCUUUCCGAGGACUAAUAUUUGCCUUCUCCAAAGAGCCAACCUGACAUACCUGUAUGUGCCAUCAUCGCUCUAAGAAAAGACAUACGAAAGGAGUCUGAGAUGGACUUAAUGAGAAAGGUUCCUUUCCCUGUUUGCACUGAUGACCUCUCCAACACCUCUGUUUGCUUUUGUUGUCAAGAUAAUGACAGAUCAUACUCAGGCAAAGACAGUCCUGGUGCAUCAUGUGGAAAACUCAUGGAAAGAGUUUACAAUAACAUGAACUACCUAAGCAUUGGAAAGAUCAGCUACUUCCAAAAGAUGUGAAUAUAUGUCUGCUUCGUAUGGGAUACCAACCAAGUUUUUCUUCCUAAAGAGAUACAUUUUAACCAGAGAGGAAAUAGGAGGCAUAAACUAAAAUAACAUAUUUAAAGUGCCCAGCUGAUGCUAUUCUGAGACCAAGUCUCCCUGUGAGGCUGUAGCCACAGAGCCCUGCAGGCUCACAGGCUUUUUUACAGCACUGCUUUACUGGGAUAACGUCAAGGCUUUCAGGCCUCACAGGUUUAUGUCAUGCAGUCUGUGGAUAUUUUGCUUGACAGUGAAGCAGGCUGGAAGCAGCCUUGGCUGCAGUGCAUCCAGAGAUGAUUGCAUUAUCUGUUCUGGGCCACCCUGUAUUGGAUAAUAACAUUUGGUUAAUCAUAAACAUUAUUCAGUGGGAAAUGUAGAUGUUAAUAAACCAGUACUGUGAAAGAAACUCACAAUGACUAUAAAAUACAAAAUAUAUGUCACUCCUUAUGAUUUACCACCAUUAAGUUAUACUGUAUGUUUAUCAUGUCGCUGGCUGAAGGCAUCCUUAAAUUGCUUGUGGCCUUUUUCAGUCCUACAGGCUAAACCCAUUUUUCUAGGAUCUAGCUUAUGAGUAAUUCUGUGUUGCUUUAUUUUUUGGUAGACUUUUUGUUGUUUCUCUAUUUUGGAUAAAGAGACUGUCUGCAUAGAGAAACAUACAGUGUAAUUCAUGCAAGUCAGAAAGUACUUCCCUUAUAAUAAACAAGGACUUGCAUAACCCCAUCAUCAAACAUCUCUCACAGUUCCAUAAACAGAUAAAAUGAAAAAUAUUUUUUCUGGGGAGUCGAAGCUGCGUUGCCACAAAGAAUAAACACCUCCUUGCAAUAUCUUUUGUAACAAUGUGCUUUUGGAGAGCACGUUGUUACAAGCACAAGCCAUCUGUAACAUGAGAUGCACGCAGGUGUUUGUGCCUCUGGGAACCUCAGAACUGCCGCAAUACAAACUUGCUUACUUCAGCAUUUCUUUAUUUAAUGGCAGGUAAAAGGUGGCAGUUAAUUUUGCCUGGAUUUUUCUUCAAAGUCUGUUACAGAACCAGCCUCUAAAGAACAGGAUUUGCUUCAUAGCUUAUCCAAGAACACUGUAUUUCUCUGUUCUAAAACUUGUGGCAGUAAGCACUAUAUCUAUAUAUAUAUGUAUGUAUGCAUGUGUACGUUACACAUAUAUGUAAUACCUGCCUAUAUAUUGGUGUAUUUAUACAACUGUGUAUGUAUAUUUCCCUAUUCAAGGAAAAAUUCCUUCAUGCUGGUUCACCUAACCUGAGUGAUAAUGCUUUACAACAUGGCUAUUUUAUAUUUGAGAUGAAUUACCGUGCAGACACUGGCACUCAAAGCAAAAACAACAACAGCAACAAAACCCCCUACAAAUCUCAUGAGGAAAUGAUAUGAAAUAAAACAAGCUCCUUUCACAAAGAGCUAUCUACCCUCUAGGUGAAGUAAGGUCAGCACACAUUUUGGUGAAUGAAGCCUUUUAUUUUUGUUCUGAAUGGACGUUUUGUCUCCAAUCCCACAAGAGGGCAGCAAAGGAAAAUGGUUGCCAAACACAAGACAAAAACAUUCAAGGACGUUUAAGCAUUUAAGUUUCCUGCUGUGCUUAAUAAGACACUGAAAAUACCAUUGUGUGGGAACUAAGAGAGCUUGCUGAAAACCACCUGAUGAGAGAAAGAGAUAUAUAUAUUUCUAAUGCUCCCCAAGCUUCCCAAUCCGUUGAGAGCUUAAUUAAGUUACUUGCUAUUACCUUCAGAUACACUCCCCAGUCAUGUGAUGCUGGCACAGCAGCUCAGCAACGUCUCCUGGGCUUCAGCAUCCUCAUCUGUAGUGCUAAUUGUUCGGUUCUUGCCAAAUUUAAGUGCUUUCUCUCAAAUCCCUUCCUCUCUUUCUAAGGCAUUCUUUGCCUCAUGAAACACUGACGCUAAUGGCAAGGUUUGCGCUUCAAGUGCUCUGAUGACAACACAAUCGCCCCAUUUUUGGUUGUUUUAUCCCCAGAUAAUACCUGAGUAAUAAAGGGAUCCUGAUAUAAAAAGAGAUUUUGUCAACAGACAGCCUUACCAGGAGCUUUUCAAGCAGGAGCUAGGGCAUUUUAGCUGCUUUGAGUUGCUGAGGGAAUGUCUGUGUGCCACAGUGUCU